RNAcentral lists this non-coding RNA (148 nucleotides) under Gorilla gorilla gorilla (western lowland gorilla). Lineage: Eukaryota; Metazoa; Chordata; Mammalia; Primates; Hominidae. The record is from Rfam by way of RNAcentral.
GCUGGGCAUGGUGGCGCUUGCCUGUAGUCUCAGCUACUCGGGAGGCUGAGGCAGAAGAAUCGCUUGAACCCAGGAGGCAGAGCUUGCAGUGAGCCGAGAUUGCGCCACUGCACUCCAGCCUGGGUGACAAAGUGAGACUCUGUCUCAA